GCACCCUGCUCCCCGGCGCGUACCCAGGGGCCACGAUUUUGGCUGGGCGAAAGCGGCCCGCUCCCGCCUCUCUGAGUGCGCUGAUUACAUCUACCGGAGACACCUUCCCUCCCCUUGGGGAUCCCAACUCUCAGCUCUUCAGAAAGCAAUGACAAGGCAUCUGACUCAUCCUCCUGCACCUCUUUUCAAUUACUGACUUAAACCAGAUUACAGUUGCUCUUAGGCUUGAAGACUGAAACUUACUGAUAUGUGUAUCCUAGAAGUACCUGACACAGUAACACAGUGCCUUACCUUGGGAGAGAGAAAAGGAGCUGCUUACAGAAGAUGCUCCCUGGGGCAGCGGAGGCCACAGCCAUCAGAAGCGGUCCCAAUGGCCAGGGACGGUGGCCAGAUAACAAGGCAGCCUGGGAUGCACAGAGCGGCUAAGAAGACGCUGGCACUUGCACAGGAUAUUCUGCUGCCACCUUGAUGCAGCUGAGCUUGGUUUGGAAGACAGUCAGGAGGCAAGUGAUAAACAGGAGGAGGAGCAAGGGGAGAGUUUCUUUCCCCCU
This 551-nucleotide non-coding RNA is filed under the name Pongo abelii (Sumatran orangutan). Lineage: Eukaryota; Metazoa; Chordata; Mammalia; Primates; Hominidae. The record is from RNAcentral.